RNAcentral lists this ribosomal RNA (468 nucleotides) under uncultured bacterium. RNAcentral describes it as "partial 16S ribosomal RNA". It matches the Rfam family "Bacterial small subunit ribosomal RNA", at positions 28 to 507 of the family's 1533-position model. The record is from RNAcentral.
GACGAACGCUGGCGGCGUGCUUAACACAUGCAAGUCGAACGGAAAGGCCCUGCUUUUGUGGGGUGCUCGAUUGGCGAACGGGUGAGUAACACGUGAGUAACCUGCCCUUGACUUUGGGAUAACUUCAGGAAACUGGGGCUAAUACCGGAUAGGAGCUCCUGCUGCACGGUGGUGGUUGGAAAGUUUCGGCGGUUGGGGAUGGACUCGCGGCUUAUCAGCUUGUUGGUGGGGUAGUGGCUUACCAAGGCUUUGACGGGUAGCCGGCCUGAGAGGGUGACCGGCCACAUUGGGACUGAGAUACGGACCAGACUCCUACGGGAGGCAGCGGUGGGGAAUAUUGCACAAUGGGCGGAAGCCUGAUGCGGAAGCGCCGCGUGCGGGAUAACGGCCUUCGAGUUGUAAACCGCUUUGGCCUGUGACGAAGCGUGAGUGACGGUAAUGGAUAAAGAAGCACCGGCUAACUACGUG